This 502-nucleotide ribosomal RNA is filed under the name uncultured bacterium. RNAcentral describes it as "bacterial SSU rRNA". It matches the Rfam family "Bacterial small subunit ribosomal RNA", at positions 32 to 510 of the family's 1533-position model. The record is from RNAcentral.
AAUCAACGCUGGCGGCGUGCCUCAGACAUGCAAGUCGAACGCGAAAGGUUCCUUCGGGAACCGAGUAGAGUGGCGCACGGGUGAGUAACACGUAGGUAAUUUGCCUUUGGGUGGGGAAUAACAGCCGGAAACGGCUGCUAAUACCGCAUAAUGCAGCGGCUCGACAUCGAGACAGUUGUUAAAGCGGGGGAUCGCAAGACCUCGCGCCUAAAGAGAAGCCUGCGGCAGAUUAGCUAGUUGGUAGGGUAAUGGCCUACCAAGGCGACGAUCUGUAACCGGCCUGAGAGGGCGGUCGGUCACACUGACACUGACAUACGGGUCAGACUCCUACGGGAGGCAGCAGUCGGGAAUUUUGGGCAAUGGGCGAAAGCCUGACCCAGCAACGCCGCGUGAAGGAUGAAAUCCCUCGGGAUGUAAACUUCGCAAGAAUGGGAAGAAUAAGUGUGGGCUAAUACCCUCAUGAUGACGGUACCAUUUGUAAGCUCCGGCUAACUUCGUGCCA